RNA transcript from Sapajus apella (tufted capuchin), 426 nucleotides. It is a transcript of the gene named zinc-alpha-2-glycoprotein pseudogene, with no coding region annotated. The transcript has a single exon. Lineage: Eukaryota; Metazoa; Chordata; Mammalia; Primates; Cebidae. The record is from RefSeq and is a predicted model, not a curated record.
AGUGGUGUGAGGUUGAUGGCAGGAGAAAGAGCUGGGAAGGAAGAGGCCAGCGGGCAGGUCUUCCCUCCUGGCCUCUGCAGCCCCAAGGUGGGACACUUGCAUGGAUCUCAACCAUCAGUCUUUUCUUUUGCAGGUCCUUACUCUCUGACCUAUGUCUACACGGGGCUGUCCAAGACUGUUGGAGACAUCCCCAAGUUUCAGGCCUUUGGCCUCCUCAAUGACCUUUCCUUCUUCGAGUACGACAGUAAAGACAGGAGGUCUCGGCCCCUAGGACUCUGGAAACAGGUGGAAGGAAUGGAGGAUUGGGAGCAGGACAGCCGACUUCAGAAGGCCAGGGAAGACAUCUUUAUGGAGACCCUGAAUGACAUCAUGGAGUAUUACAACGACAGUAACGGUCAGUGAACAACAGACUGAGGGGGUGGAAGG